Molecule: ribosomal RNA, 321 nt
Filed under: Carpilius maculatus
Lineage: Eukaryota; Metazoa; Arthropoda; Malacostraca; Decapoda; Carpiliidae
Description: partial 12S small subunit ribosomal RNA
Source: RNAcentral
CCGGAUUAUUAAUAGAUAUGUUCUUGAAAUUUAAAGAAUUUGGCGGUGAUUUAGUCUAAUCAGAGGAACCUGUUUUUUAAUCGAUAAACCACGUAAAAUCUUACUUAAGUUUGUAUACCGUCAUUAACAGAUAAUUUUUAGAGAAAAGAAUUAUUAAUAAAUAUAAUUUGAAUUAAUGAAAUUAGAUCAAGGUGCAGCUUAUAAGUGAGUUAAAAUGGGUUACAAUAAAUUUUAUUUAUAAUGGAUAUUUAAUGAAUUGGAAGGAGGAUUUGAUUGUAUAUAAGUUUAAUAUGCUUAAGAGACAUAAGCUCUAAAUCAUGU